AUGUCGAUUUGCAGGUUUACCAACAGGGAGGUUAAUAAUCAGGAUCUGUAUUAUACAAACAACCAUGUGAACUUAAAAGCAGAUAUUUUUCUCAGAGUCUUCAAAUACCAGUCCAGCCAAGCUGACAUCUUGAUUUUAACCUGGUUGUGGUCUAGAAGCAUAUUGUGAUUUCUACAAGACACACGUUCCCAUUUGGAGCUUUAACAAAUUCAACCGUUUCAUGUUCUGUGUAAGUAAAUUUUAGGUUGCCCAUCAUUGAAAGCCAGUUUUUAAAAAAAUCACAGGAGUGGAUAAUCCAGAGAACAUUUUCUACUGUGUUUGUGAUUCCAGUGGUUGGAAAGUAAAAUUGUGGAGGAAGGGCUGGGAUAUCUCCAGGGGCUUACUUAGCAUCAUCAAAGCCUCUCCCGCUUCCCCCUUGCACGUUACCGUAUCUGCUUUACCAAUCAGAGGGAAAUUUAUCAUGUAGGAUUUAGAGGAGAUAUUUAUGGCCUCCGUAAGCACAAUGACUUUGACUGGUAAGACGUCAGUUAUUCCCUUUAGGAGAUAAAAGGCCACAGCUGGUGAGAUAAUAGAACAGGAACUGUUUCAGUAUUUCAAAACAGAAGACCCAGUUGAAGAAGGGAUUUUAUAUGGCAUUUGCUUUUAUUUUUUUCCUUCUAUGAUGAACAGGUGUGGGAGUCAAUUCGAGAAGGCUGCUUAGAUGAUUGUGGGACAAGGGAGGGAGGUAAAUAUUUUUGAUGGUUGGGGAAAGAUUCAGAUUUUCAAACUUUAAACCAAAUAUGUAGUCCAAGCCUUUUCUACCUGUGUACACAAAGGAAAGAGGAAGCUGGGUCAACAUAAAAUAGGCAGUUGUUGUUUAGAUUAUUCAUUAAGUUAUGAAAUCUGCAUGGCUACACAAAACAGAAAGCCGCUAUGUGACAAGUGUUUGAUGUGAGCAUGCAAAUGCAGUUUUAAAUUCGUUAAACCUAAUGGAACAAGGUAUCUGGAUGCGGGGGGAGGGGUUCUACUAUUUCCUGAGCUUAUACAGCAGGUUCUUGAAUAAUGUCAUUUAAGUUCAAUAUCAUUUCCUUACAAUGUGGAUGAGAAACAAUGAAUUCCUAGCUGAAGUCAUUGUGUAUAUGGACUUUGCAAGUCCUCCCCAUGUCUGGUUUCCUCCCAAAACCCAAAGCUGCAUUCGGUAGAUGAAUCAGUGUGUCUCACUGGUCCCAGUGUGAGUGAGUGUCAGUGUGUAUGAGUGUGCCCUGCAAUGGGAAAGGUGGCCUGUCUGGGGCUGGUUCCAGCCUGGUACCGCGAGCUACCAGAAUUGUCUCUGGCCACUUGAGCUCCUGAACUUGAAUAAGUGGGUAGAUGAUUAUCUUACUUGUUUUUGUGAACCCUUCUUAAAUGUAUGUGUAACUCUUAUUCAUUUCAAAGUUAUUUUGAUAUUUAUUUCAAUAUUAGAAAUGUUUGGGUCUUUAUUUUAGAAGUUUGGUGAUUUUUUUUGUGACCAGAAAUAUGCUGUAGCAACUUAACUCUUAUUUAGAUCAAUUAGCCUACGGUAAAGCUGUUUUUGUUAUAUGUCCUUUCAUUUGAAGUCCCAGUUUCCAAGAACCUAUCGUCAAAGGUCUUAGUGUACUUCUGGGCACACACUGGGCUAAGCAUCUUACAUUAUCAACUAGAAGAUGAGGUGAAAUAAAAUAUGUUAGUAAAGUGAUCUUGAAAAAGUUAUCUCAUUCUAAUAAAUUAUAAGAUUAUUAAAAUGACUUAGAACAUAUUAAAGCACUGUAAAAAGUAAAUCUUAGUAGAUGCAUUAGGGGUGUGAUUGGCAUUGCUAACAUUAUUAAAAUCUUUCAGUGCUGGGCUAUUUCUACCCUUACAACCCCAUAGGCCUGUAGAGUAUCUUAUAAGAAAACCCACAAUAAAUAUUUGAUAAAUUGCUGAGUAAAAGGUAGGUAUUUUGCACUUAAAGUGCUUGCAAAGUACCUCAUCAACAAGAGAAAAAGGCAAGAGAAUAACCUUGCUUAUGAAUAAAGUAUCGAUCACUUAGGCAUUACAUUUUCCAUUUGUUCUAUUUUUUUUUUCCAGCAGAAACUCUUGGAGAAAUUGCAUAGCAUUAUUUUAAACAAUUCCCCUCAGGGGACCAUUAAAUAGGCUUUUCUGCAGACAGGAUAGAUGUCUUUUACAGCUGGUCGGUGUUUAGUUCUCUAAAUUCUUGACUGAAUAAAGAAAAUGACUGGGAUGUAGGAUAUCUGACCUAUAGAUUGCUCAUUCUCUGCAUGAGUCAAUGUUUGAAGUCUGAAGAUAAAAACCACCAUUAAUCACAAAGCUUUCCUAUAGUCCUAAGGUCAUAUAUCCCAGGGCCCUUCCAAAAUUACCACGUGGACUGGCAUAGGGAGAGAUCUGCUCAGCUGUGGUCGCUUUUAUGACACAGAGCUCCUUCUCUCUGGUUGAUAUUGAAUGAGCAGGAAGGAAGAAAAGAAAUAAAAGUCAGCUAACCAUGGUUGAGUCAAUUCAGUCCAUGCCAUUCAAAGGCUGAAGGGCCACCUGACUCUCCAGAGGCUGCUGGAGAUGCAAGGCUCUUUCAUCCUGGGGUGAGUUUCUGGUUAGAGGAAAUACUGACUUGAAUGAAACAAAGCGUCUGUACCUUGCUUUAUUGGACAAUGAAAGUUCCCAUCAUACUGACCAAAGAUUGAGGAUUUGAGACAUGUGGGGAUGCAUUAAUAUCUCACGUGUGGCUGUGUGUUUCCAAAUGCUAAUUUCUUUUCCUGCAAAACCAGGUAUGUAAGGCUAAGGCGAAAGGAAACUUUUUCUCCUAUGAAAAUCUGGAUCCAAUUCAAUCCCAUUUCGUUUCAAAAACAUUUAUUUACUUUGUGUCCCUUAAGUAAAUAGAAUAUUAUUCUGAAAACACAAAGGAGGUAGGAACUGAAGUGAGUUGGGAAGUUAAAGGAAAGAAACGAAGGGAAGGGGGGAAAAAACAGAGAGAGGGUGGAAGGAAAGAUUGCUGGGUGAUCUUCUGUGCUGUUUAAUAGACACCUUAUUGCUUUCAAUCCUCAAAGCAGUCUUGGGAGAAUGGUGUUGUUUAACCAUUUGCCAGAGGAGGAAACUGAAACUCAGGGAGAUUGCUACUUGCCCAGGGAGGUAAAUAUUGUUCAUUCAGGUUGGCUUUUUGAUGUCUGAAUUCUUUUCUGUAAUUUUGGAAUUGCUCUCAUUUUGAUUAUUUACAGUGGGGAUGGGACAGGAAACCUCUUGUAAUUGGAACAGAAAAUACUAGAUGCUCACUUUCCCCUUUCCCAGACUCCCUUGAAGCUAUGGCAAAGGCUCCGAUAACCACAGGCAUCUGCCCCAGAUUUUUCCUCAGAAGUGUCUG
This 3346-nucleotide long non-coding RNA is filed under the name Callithrix jacchus (white-tufted-ear marmoset). RNAcentral describes it as "lncRNA (ENSCJAG00000073668.1)". The record is from RNAcentral. Lineage: Eukaryota; Metazoa; Chordata; Mammalia; Primates; Cebidae.